RNAcentral lists this long non-coding RNA (514 nucleotides) under Bos taurus (domestic cattle). RNAcentral describes it as "long non-coding RNA NONBTAT004796". The record is from RNAcentral. Lineage: Eukaryota; Metazoa; Chordata; Mammalia; Artiodactyla; Bovidae.
UUAAGAACAAAAUAAAAUACUAGAAGUACUUGAAGAACAAAGGAAACUUAACUUUCUUAGAGUUGCUAGUAUGAUGAUAAAAUGUAUUUUCUCAUCUUAAAAUGCCUUCUAUUACCUUGAAGUUCUUGUUUCACAUAAGAUUGUUUCAGUAUAUUUAUGUUUUCACCUUUACUUUUCUGGAAUUAACCCCAACCUCUUCUCAAGCCUUAAUAAUGACCCUUUGAAUAUCCAGAAGGUAUAUAUGUGUGUCCUCGAAAAAACACAGAGUGCGUGGCAUGUGCAGAGCAGGUACUUGGUUACAUAUAUGAUGUAAGAAUGGGUAUAAUAACAUUCAUAACUUCUGUGGUAAUGUCCCAACUAUAGUCUCUUGACUUAUAAAAUCUUAAAACAAUGGUGAAAACAAUUGGAACUUUAAAUAUAAAACUUCCACAAGGGGCAUGUGUAUCCCCUUCUAUAUUCUUCUAUAGCCCUACCUAUUGAAUAUUUCUUAGGGGAUAAUCUUGGAAAAAAUGCU